AGGUAGAGUACUGCAGUGCUUGUCUCUGGGCUGUGUCAUGUGAAAUCCACCUUGAGUCUCUCUGCUAUAGUUAGUUGGUGCAACUCUGAAACAGCAUUUAAAGUAAUCCAUUAAUACCCAACAAAACAGCUCUUCAGUGGCAUGUAGAAUGCUAGGCUGAGGGCUUUUCCCCUUUUAACAGAAAUGGAGGCCAAGUUCCAGUUAUUGGUAGCUAUUUUUUACCCAAAUCAUUUCAGCAGCUUGGAACGUCUCAACUGGAAUAUGGCAGAUUAAUAUGACCAACAAUUAACUGUGAGGAACGUGGAAUGAGAAGAGCACAGCAGACAAAAUCCAUCUGUCCUCACUCUGCCAGAUCACCCAGAAGGAUGGUGUUUAGCAGAGAAUGCAGCUUUCUACAUGGGCUUGAGUCUUCUUGGCUUCUGGGAGCAUUUCUUCCCAGGAAGACAUCUGUGCUUGACCUGAAUGCUUUACAGCACAAAGCAUUGGAUGGAGGAGCAGGAAAAAAUGAAAUGGUCUUUUUUUUUCUUGCCUUGUGUGGGUGAGAAUUGAGGACACAUAUCAAGAUGUACCCCCUGUUCAAAGAGGCACUCUGCCUGGUCCCAGUUACACAGGUUAAUGGUGACUCAGUGGAGCUUUCUGUUGCUGAAACCCAGAGAUGAUUCCAGUUGUCCAUGGAGCUUGGCUUUGUGUGUUGCUGUCCACUGGGGGCUAAGAAAACACCAAAUAUGUUAUCCAACACCACAACUAACAGAAUGCCAUGAAGAAGAAUUCAAAACCUGUGUGCAAAAGCAGGGUUUUAUUUUUUCACUCUGACCCCUGGACUGCUCUGGUUUGUGUUUCAAGAGUCUACAUUUUUACCUAAAGAAGGAAACUGCUUCUGUUACCUCCCAUUUCCAAGGUGUUACACACAGAGUUCACAAGCACUUGAUUACAGGGUGGUCUGCACUAUAAUUUAUAACACUAAUAAAUCAGAGCCAAAGAGUACAAACCACUCUUUUUUAGUAGCUGCUUCAUCAAGGCCCUCAAAAGUUAAAAAUUGUGCUGACCUAAAGCUCUCCACCACUGCAACCUUUAAUUUUGCUUUGAAGUGGUCAGGAUGUGUCCUGAAACUGGCAGGUUUGUCUAUUUGUUCUCUGGAAAGAGGAGUAUAAUUUUGCAUUCUUGCCCUGUCCAUAAUUCAGACUCACCUAUGCAGACUUCCACUGGCAUCCUGAGGCAGAGUUCAAGCUGGGCUUAGGAAGGCUCAGGACAUUAACCUGUUCACUUCCCCCAGGGCUUCAGGGCAGAGCCUGAAAAUGUGCUUUGGGACUUGGCACUUCUGGUUAAAGUGGAAUUGGAUAGGGGAGGCAACCACUGCUCCCUGCCCUGUUUGCCUAGCCAAAGACAGAAGGGGUGGCCAAGGUUAGCCCAGUGAUGAAGAUGAAGCAGAGGAGAGGAAGAUGCUAACAGCUGUAAUGAGCUGUUUGCAUGAGGAAAGACUUCUGAAUUCCCUAGCUCUGCACAAAUCAUACUACACUGUAGGCACACCUGGAGUGCUCUGUCCAGUUCUGGGCCCCUCAGUUUAAGAAA
Long non-coding RNA from Pogoniulus pusillus (Red-fronted tinkerbird), 1569 nucleotides. RefSeq lists it as uncharacterized. Lineage: Eukaryota; Metazoa; Chordata; Aves; Piciformes; Lybiidae. The record is from RefSeq and is a predicted model, not a curated record. The transcript is spliced from 2 exons.